GACGAACGCUGGCGGCGUGCUUAACACAUGCAAGUCGAGCGGUAAGGCCCUUUCGGGGGUACACGAGCGGCGAACGGGUGAGUAACACGUGGGUGACCUGCCCUCAGCUCUGGGAUAAGCCUGGGAAACCGGGUCUAAUACCGGAUAUGACUCCAUGACGCAUGUUGUGGGGUGGAAAGCCUUGUGCGGCUGAGGAUGGGCCCGCGGCCUAUCAGCUUGUUGGUGGGGUGAUGGCCUACCAAGGCGACGACGGGUAGCCGGCCUGAGAGGGCACCGGCCACACUGGGACUGAGACACGGCCCAGACUCCUACGGGAGGCAGCAGUGGGGAAUCUUGCGCAAUGGGCGAAAGCCUGACGCAGCGACGCCGCGUGAGGGAUGACGGCCU
This 387-nucleotide ribosomal RNA is filed under the name uncultured bacterium. RNAcentral's name for it is "bacterial SSU rRNA". It matches the Rfam family "Bacterial small subunit ribosomal RNA", at positions 28 to 417 of the family's 1533-position model. The record is from RNAcentral.